Molecule: ribosomal RNA, 1372 nt
Filed under: uncultured bacterium
Lineage: Bacteria
Description: bacterial SSU rRNA
Rfam family: Bacterial small subunit ribosomal RNA
Source: RNAcentral
GAUGAACGCUGGCGGCGUGCCUAAUACAUGCAAGUCGAGCGAACGGACGAGAAGCUUGCUUCUCUGAUGUUAGCGGCGGACGGGUGAGUAACACGUGGAUAACCUACCUAUAAGACUGGGAUAACUUCGGGAAACCGGAGCUAAUACCGGAUGAUAUUUUGAACCGCAUGGUUCAAAAGUAAAAGACGGUCUUGCUGUCACUUAUAGAUGGAUCCGCGCUGCAUUAGCUAGUUGGUAAGGUAACGGCUUACCAAGGCAACGAUGCAUAGCCGACCUGAGAGGGUGAUCGGCCACACUGGAACUGAGACACGGUCCAGACUCCUACGGGAGGCAGCAGUAGGGAAUCUUCCGCAAUGGGCGAAAGCCUGACGGAGCAACGCCGCGUGAGUGAUGAAGGUCUUCGGAUCGUAAAACUCUGUUAUUAGGGAAGAAUAUAUGUGUAAGUAACUGUGCACAUCUUGACGGUACCUAAUCAGAAAGCCACGGCUAACUACGUGCCAGCAGCCGCGGUAAUACGUAGGUGGCAAGCGUUAUCCGGAAUUAUUUGGGCGUAAGCGCGCGUAGGCGGUUUUUUAAGUCUGAUGUGAAAGCCCACGGCUCAUCCGUGGAGGGUCAUUGGAAACUGGAAAACUUGAGUGCAGAAGAGGAAAGUGGAAUUCCAUGUGUAGCGGUGAAAUGCGCAGAGAUAUGGAGGAACACCAGUGGCGAAGGCGACUUUCUGGUCUGUAACUGACGCUGAUGUGCGAAAGCGUGGGGAUCAAACAGGAUUAGAUACCCUGGUAGUCCACGCCGUAAACGAUGAGUGCUAAGUGUUAGGGGGUUUCCGCCCCUUAGUGCUGCAGCUAACGCAUUAAGCACUCCGCCUGGGGAGUACGACCGCAAGGUUGAAACUCAAAGGAAUUGACGGGGACCCGCACAAGCGGUGGAGCAUGUGGUUUAAUUCGAAGCAACGCGAAGAACCUUACCAAAUCUUGACAUCCUUUGACAACUCUAGAGAUAGAGCCUUCCCCUUCGGGGGACAAAGUGACAGGUGGUGCAUGGUUGUCGUCAGCCCGUGUCGUGAGAUGUUGGGUUAAGUCCCGCAACGAGCGCAACCCUUAAGCUUAGUUGCCAUCAUUAAGUUGGGCACUCUAAGUUGACUGCCGGUGACAAACCGGAGGAAGGUGGGGAUGACGUCAAAUCAUCAUGCCCCUUAUGAUUUGGGCUACACACGUGCUACAAUGGACAAUACAAAGGGCAGCGAAACCGCGAGGUCAAGCAAAUCCCAUAAAGUUGUUCUCAGUUCGGAUUGUAGUCUGCAACUCGACUACAUGAAGCUGGAAUCGCUAGUAAUCGUAGAUCAGCAUGCUACGGUGAAUACGUUCCCGGGUCU